GUCGGCUAUGCGCCACACACAACAGCCGCAGUAUCGACAAACGUUCACAAAACGUUUAGACGUAAUAACCAUAGUGUCACUUCACUUCUUAUUUUAGUAAUUAGACCAUUCAAAAUUUCUAUUUCCUUCGUUUUAGUUGUUUAAGUGUUAAGUGUUUUAAAUGAUGUUUUAAUAAUGCUAAGUGCCGCAACCGUAUACGCAUUCUGAAGCAAUUACGUAAUGGGAAUUAUGCUAGAGAAGUUUAAAGUUUUGCCCUGAAAUUCAACAUGGCCGCUGACACAGGAAUGGAUACUUGCCCCAGUCCGGAGAUCACGGACUCCAGGAAACGGCCUCUCGAUGGAGACUCGGAGAAUGGCGACGUGAAGCGCUCACACUUCAGCUCGGUGCAAGACUUGGUGACGGCCUUGCCACUGGCCAACGGCCAUGGCAAUAUUACGUCUCAUUUCGCCGUGGAGCCGACAUACCACUUCAAGGUUCUGGUGCCGUCCAUGGUGGCCGGAGCCAUCAUCGGCAAGGGCGGGGAGACCAUCGCCCAGCUGCAGAAGGACACUGGUGCCAGAGUCAAGAUGUCCAAGUCACAUGACUUCUAUCCUGGCACGACGGAGCGCGCUUGCCUGAUCACGGGGUCGGUGGACGGCAUCAUGGUAGUGCUGGACUUCAUCAUGGAUAAGAUCAAGGAGAAGCCAGAGCUCGUCAAGCCCUUUCCCGAGGGCGUCGACACCAAGAUGCCGCAAGAUAGGGACAAGCAGGUCAAGAUCCUGGUACCAAACUCGACAGCGGGCAUGAUCAUCGGCAAGGGUGGCAACUACAUCAAGCAGAUCAAGGAGCAGAGCGGCAGCUACGUGCAGAUCUCGCAGAAGGCGAAGGAGCUGUCCCUGCAGGAGCGCUGCAUCACUGUAGUAGGCGAGAAGGAGAACAACAAAAAGGCAUGUCUGAUGAUCCUGCAGAAGGUUGUCGACGACCCCCAGUCGGGGUCGUGUCCCAACGUGUCGUAUGCCGACGUGGCGGGCCCGGUCGCCAACUACAACCCGACGGGCUCGCCGUACGCCGUGCCCACAACCGAGGUGACCACCGAGAACCACGGGCUGGGCAGCGGCGUGGGCGGCGUGCUGGUGAACGGCGGCGCCGUGGGCGCGGUGGGCGCCGUGGGCGCGCUGUCGCUGUCUCUGUCGCUCGCGCCGCCCGGCAGCCAGCCGCCGGCGCCGCUCACGCAGCACACGCUGGACCACAUCAAGGUGGCCCUGCGUCAGUCGGGCUACAGCGAGGCGGGCGUGUCGGAGAUCUCUGCGGCGCUGGCGCUGCUGGUGAAGCACGGCGUGCUGGGGCUGGCGCUGCCGGCCGCGCUGCCCGCCGCGCCGCUGUCGGCCGCAUACUUCCCGCUGCAGCCGCAGGACUCGCCCGCCGUCUUCGGGCCCAUCGGACAAGUGGGGCUAGGGCGCGCGGGCGGCGCGUUAGAGCGUUUCGCGGAGGUUGCAUUGGACGCGCUCCGUCCCGCAGCCGUGGCGCCCAUCUCGCUGUCGGGCGGCGUGGGCGGCGUGGCGUCGUUCCCGUCGGCCGCCGGCCUGCUGCCGCUCAGCAAGAGCCCCACGCCCGCCGACGCCGGCGCCAAGGACUCCAAGAACGUCGAGAUCGCGGAGGUCAUCGUCGGCGCUAUACUCGGUCCCGGCGGGCGCAGCCUGGUGGAGAUCCAGCAGAUGUCGGGCGCCAACAUCCAGAUCAGCAAGAAGGGCACGUUCGCGCCCGGCACCCGCAACCGCAUCGUCACCAUCUCCGGUUCGCCCACAGCUAUAUCCUCCGCGCAGUACCUCAUCGAGCAGAAGAUCCAGGAAGAGGAACUCAAACGGACCCGCCACAACGCCAUCUCCAGCCUCAUGCAGUAACAGAGGUUACCACACUGCUUAUAUAUACGGCGCAACGGGCCUAGAUAGAAUGUUACAAUUUGUGUCUUCGGCCAAAAUGAAGUUUUGCGUGGUUAAGUUCAGUUGCGGAGUUUAAGGUUUGUCACAUCCAGAUUUAGAUUUUGGAGCUUUUGGGAUGAUGUCUGGCGAUUGAUUUGAUUAAUAAUGAAAGGCACGUAAGGGCGUUGACAAACUAAUCGACAUAAAGGUACGUGACCAGCGUCUCCAAUUGAUUAGUUCGACAACGUCCUAAGGUUAGGUAUUUUAUUUUGGUCGAAGGAUAGACCUGUCAGCGUGGAGUCGACCGGUCAGCGCUGGGCUGGCGUAGCGGGGUGGGCAGGCCCGCCGGUCACUCCCAGCUCGGGGUAGUGUAGUUCUAGUCAACGGUCCGCCGUGGGCCCGCCAGACAGAGCGCCAGUUACCUGAGUGUAGUUAAGAGUUUAUGUUGUUUUGUUUUACGAGAAUAUAAGUUAUAGUGCGUUGCGCGCGCUCCCGGCCCGUGGCGCGUGGCGCGUGGUACGCAGCCCAUGGUACGUGGCGCAUGGUACGCAGCCCGUGGCACGCGACGCGUGGCUCGCAGCGCCCGCGACGCACACACCUAUUUACAAUACAUAGAUUUAUGUAUAUUGAUUUUAUGCAUGUACUAUAGUGUUGAACAUAUUGGUAUAUUUUAUGUUUAUCGUGAUGACAAGUUAUUUUGUCCCGCCUAGCGGGCUUGUUAAGAUAUAAAAAAGUACGAUUGUGAUAUCUCCUAUCACGGAAAUUCCUAUUCCAUAAUACACAUUUUUAUUUUUGUAUAUUAUUCACCACGCAUACAAUUUUAUUUACAAAGUUGAUUUCAUUGUAAAUGUUACCAUUGAUAAGUUAUUUUAGUUUAUGUGACAUCGUUUAGUGUUAGAAUUGAAAUUUUGAAUUUAUACAUGUAUAUGUGUUGAAUAUUGACAAGAUAGCGAUGGUACUAGGGCCAAAUGAUAUCCGCACCAAAGUUGAUAAUUAUUAUAACUACGUUACAUGGACAAGUACACCGCUGUUGUCUCGGCCGCGAGCGCCCCGGCUCGUGAUGCUGCUCGCGGAGUUCGGCAUUCCUGAUCGAUUUCUCUCAGUGAAGAUCUUUAUUUUUUAUACAUUUAUAAUAUUACUUUGUGUUAGGAAUGUUCAUAGUUGUCGAUUUGUUUGUCGGGCUAAAUCACCUUACCUUUACAAUAAGUACAAGUAAUAUAAAAAGUUCAUGUCCAGAUUAGUAGAAAAUAAUAUAUUUUAAAGGUUUUAAAAAGCAGAUUCUAUAUAUAAUUCAAGAGGACAAUAUAAUAAAUUUUAUUUACAGUUGGAUAUAAUUGAAUUUAUUUUAGACGCGUCACCGUAGGGCCCGCGCCUCGCGCCUGCCUCCAGGCGGCGUCCGUGACGCGCGGACGCGUCGUGGUACUGGUCGCCGGUCGUGGUCGCCAGUGGUCGGCCGUGGUCGCAGCCGCCUGCGACUGUCGCGGCGUAGUUUAAGUUUGGAUUACCUAGAAGUGCCAUGAUACGCACUGUAGUACUGUCGUGCAAUAUAUCGAGUGUAACGACCCCGCGCGAGAAGGAGGGGAAAGAAGUACAAAUGAAAUCGUAAACAUAAUAAAUAUAUAAUUUGAAAUCGGCUUAACGUACGGUAGUUUGUAAGAAAAGGAAUUGAGAGACAAUUCUCAGCUAAAUCUUGAUUAAAAAUAAUAAUUAUAAUAAAUAAUUUAAAGCACUAAGUCGCCGCAACAUCGUACUUCCGUGAAAUUGUGAAAACGUUAAUUAUAAAUACGUGUAAGUAUCCCGCAGUCCAACGACAUCUCGAACUAAGUUGAGUACUGUUGCUGUAGCGCCUAGAAGCGCGCCGUAGAUGCAUUCAAGUAGAUAGUUAUUGUACUUAUAUUCAAUCUUUAGGUAUCGCUGUUCGACCUUUCUGGUAUUUUUCGACUUUCUCAUCUUACUAUACUAAUAUGUAUUCGAGGGUAGGUACAGAUAUCGUCUUGUGUCAAUUAAAGGUUGAGGUUUGACAUACUCGCGACGGCGCGGCGCCCGAUCCGACGGACUAUCGGCUGGGUCGCCUGUUUGGGACAAGGUUGCCGGUCCCGGUUGUUAGACAAGGUUGCCGGUCGUUAGACAAGGUUGCCGGUUGAUGGUUCACGCGCCGCGUCGCGUCAUCCCAGGGCGUGACGGUCUCCCGAGUUGCCUGUACGUCGAUUUUACAAGCUCAAUUUUAUCGAAACUAAUUCUCGAUUAGUCGGUACGUGUAAGUGAAUCGUCAAUUAUUCUAAAUCGUUUGGUAUCUGUCAAUGCGUUCAGUUGGCGAGCUUCGGUAGACGUCCCGGUCCCGCCCGCAGCCGCGCUCUAUACUUCGCUCUCAGCCUCCGUAGUCGCUGCAACUCUAGUUAUAAUUAUCGUAUUAAAACCGUCAUUAUGGGUAUAUAUAGAUAAUUUUAAAAAAUAACUGGAAAAAAAUGUUAAUGUUGUUAUACUGAAGUUGUUACAAUAUUUGAGAGUAUAUUAUCGUGGAUACAAAAUAAUAAUUUAGUGCGGUAACAUUACCAGAUUAAAGUUUAUCGUGUGGAAAGAUAAUAAUAGCAGCGUCCCGACACGAUGUACCUCAGGCGAGCGCAGAGCGAGAUACAGUUACUGUGAUACCGGCACCCGCACCGCACUGCACGCCCCGCCGCGCACGGGGGCGCGCAGGCCUCACCCGCACCGCACGCGAUACUCUGCGUUACGAUAAGGUUUCAAUGUUGUAGGCUAAGGUAGCUAGUUGUCAUUCUUCAUUCUACAGAUUACGGCGAGGCGGUGUCGCCGGCGCCGCCUCAUAAUUUUAAUAGCUAAAUGUUGUUGAAUUUGUUGAUAGAGUGGUUUAUUGUAAUUACCGUAGGUAGUUUAGUGGGUAUACACGAGGUGGCAGCCGUCGGGUGCGCUAGGCUAGGGUAAGGUUCGAUACUGUGUAUAGGAACAUGGCUGUGCGUUCAAGUCGAACUCAACAUUAAGACAUCAUACGCUUGUUGUGGAGGGGCGCGGAUCGCACGCGGCGCCGCCGCUGCCGGCCGCCGGGCUACGCCCUGGGCGCUCCGCCCUCGGAGCUCCGCGCGCGGCCGGCGGCGCGCUCACGUCACUAUCUGUAUAUAAUUGCAUACAUUGUUUCAUUUACGUUCUCGUUGCUCAUUGUCAUCAAUUUAUUAAAGACUGAGGAAUCAACUUGCGCAUAUUGACAUCGUCACGAAGCGUCCCCAACGGUAGGGAAUAUUGUAAUAUAAUAUAAUUGUUUGUCAUUAAAAUUGUCGCUCGGUGGACGUGGACCGGUCCGCGAGAGUCGUGUGCGAUCCCCGCGGUACACUCGCGGUUAACCUCAUUUGUAUCGAAUACUGUUGCGUCCGUGUAGGACGGUUCUCGCUAGGUUGCCUGUCCCGUUGAUUUCCGAGUCCUGCGAGUGUACAGUGUGACAGCGAGCCGGCCGGGCCGGGCCGGGCUGGCCGGGCAGCGUGGCCGGAGGGGCCGGGCCGGUGUGGCCGGAGGGGCCCGGCCGGCCGGCGGAGACGCGCACCGUGGUCGCAAGCGUUCAGUCGUUGUCUCAUCGCCUUUACACAUGUUGAGAUUGAUAUGUUAUACUAAUUCUAUUGAAUUAUAACUUGUUGCGUAUUAUAAGUAUGAUAGAGAGCGCCGCUCGGCACGUUGUAAUACGUUGAAACAUUUGUUGCUGUGCAGUUCAGCGACGGGAUUUUUAUUUUUUACUAAUAAUAUUUUUGUUAACUUGGUUUACGAUACACGGGUCUGCAAUGUUAUCUACGAGAAAUAAUCUUUAAUUAAGUUUGAAUUGAAAAUGUUGAAUAAUUUUUGAAUUAAAAAUUCGGUAUAUUUUAGUCAAAUGUUAAUUGUUUAGUUGUAUUGUCAAUAUUGAUUUUCUAAUGAAGUGUUAUUUUGCAAUAUUGUAAUAGAUAAGAGGUAAAAUGGAAGGUUACAAUGUCUUAGUGUUUAAAAGCUCGAAAACCAAUUAAAAGGUACCUUGAACAUUGUCUAUAUUAUAUUAACAUUAAAUAAACGCGAAAAAGAA
This 5955-nucleotide unclassified non-coding RNA is filed under the name Pectinophora gossypiella (pink bollworm). Its description in RNAcentral is "rNA-binding protein Pasilla". The record is from RNAcentral. Lineage: Eukaryota; Metazoa; Arthropoda; Insecta; Lepidoptera; Gelechiidae.